Molecule: ribosomal RNA, 476 nt
Filed under: uncultured bacterium
Lineage: Bacteria
Description: bacterial SSU rRNA
Rfam family: Bacterial small subunit ribosomal RNA
Source: RNAcentral
AUUGAACGCUGGCGGCAUGCCUUACACAUGCAAGUCGAACGGCAGCACGGGAGCAAUCCUGGUGGCGAGUGGCGAACGGGUGAGUAAUAUAUCGGAACGUGCCCAGUCGUGGGGAUAACGUAGCGAAAGCUACGCUAAUACCGCAUACUAUCUAUGGAUGAAAGCGGGGGAUCGCAAGACCUCGCGCGAUUGGAGCGGCCGAUAUCAGAUUAGGUAGUUGGUGAGGUAAAGGCUCACCAAGCCGACGAUCUGUAGCUGGUCUGAGAGGACGACCAGCCACACUGGGACUGAGACACGGCCCAGACUCCUACGGGAGGCAGCAGUGGGGAAUUUUGGUCAAUGGACGCAAGUCUGACCAGCCAUGCCGCGUGCAGGAUGACGGUCCUAUGGAUUGUAAACUGCUUUUGUACGAGAAGAAACAACAUUACGUGUAAUGUCUUGACGGUAUCGUAAGAAUAAGGAUCGGCUAACUCCGU